UAUUAAUUCUUUUUACAGGUCACAAUAUGCCUUUUGUGGAUUUUAGUAGAUUUUUCCCUACAAGAAGAAACUUUUGAAAAUUCUAUUAAUUUGUGUAAAGAUAGAUGCACAUGUCAGUAUUCAUCAAAUGAAAAAUCGGCCGUCAUAGACUGUUCAAAAGCCCGAAUGCAUCACACAAUUGCAAAUUGGCCCGAUCGCGCGUCAAAAACCUCGAAUAUAUUUGCCAAUUUCAAAAACAAUAACAUUACAACGCUCGAAGAGAUGCCAGGAACGGAUGCAAAUUUGCAACUCAUCUUUAGCAACUGCAACAUAAAAUAUCUUAAUACGGGCCUGUUUGAAAGCGCAGUAAACGUGAAAUACGUCGACUUAAGUCACAAUUUACUAGAAAACGAUCAACUUGGUGGGGACGUUUUCAAGGGACCGUAUAAUGUCACAGAUUUUCGUCCCAUAGCUCUGGAGUAUUUAAACUUGGCAUACAAUAAUUUACACAGUUUACAAAAGAAUAUGUUCCAACACAUCCCUUAUUUGAAAGUCCUGAAUUUAGAGGGGAACCACUUCAGGGUUCUGGAUCACGUUACAGCAUUUUCAUUCUCCUAUCUGCCCAAUUUACAAAGUUUAAGUUUAGCUCAUAAUCAACUGACGGAAAUACCGAUUGAUGUUUUGAAAAAUUUAAAAGGAAAUUUAACGGACCUAAACUUGGCUUUAAACGAUCUCGACUUUGUUCCCAGCUCUCUUGCAUACGUUUACAAAACUUUGCAAAUACUGAAUAUAAGUGGAAACCCAAUUAUUGAAUUUAAUAACAAAAGCUUCGAAGGACUCGUAAACCUUCUAAAACUUUACGCCAACAAUUUAACAGAACUGACCUCAGUAACAGCCUACGCUUUCGCGCACCUAAAAAAGCUACAAGUCCUCAGCCUCUCAGAAAAUCCUAAGUUGUUCGAAAUAGAUGAAGAUGCCUUCAUAGGCACUACAAAUUUACAAGAGUUAUACAUGGAGAGUAACUCCUUGCUGCACGUCUCCUACAAGUUGCUGCCCUCUUGGUCGAGUCUGAGGGUGUUGAAUUUGAAAGGGAACCGAUUCUAUUGCGACUGUGAUCUGUACAACAUAUCGCAACAGCUCAAUGAAGACAUCAAACGAAAUGGCGACGGGCCGUACUGCCUGGACGCGAAGGCGUUCACAUCAAGAGAAGUGUACACACUCAAGGACAACGCCUGCGGAAUGUGGCCCCUUGAAGAUUCUACAAGUAAAUCAGUUUUCCAUAAGUCGAUGACGCUUAUGAGAAUCGUACUGAUGUUAAUGAUGGCGUUAUUAAUCAUUUCUACAGCUAUGGCCGUAUGGCUGGCGGUAAUGAAAUGGAAAACAUACAAUAGAAGCCUCAAUUAUCCAUUUCCAAAUCAAGUAGUUUAUAAUCCAGUUUCAACUUAUGACGCGAGAUAUUAGGAGAGCACAGAUUUUUUUUAUUUCAGUACCUACGCAGAGAAAAUUAUUUAUUUCGUAGUAAAAGACACUCAAUCAAACCGUAUACAUACAGAUCUUUAUAUUAUUUUACUUAUAAGCUGGGAAAACUUUUUUUUUUGUUACCUACCUGGCAAGAAGAACCAGAAAUUUGUUCGGCAUAAGCAAGGAACUGGUGUAAGAUAUCUUCGGACUUCUGUGCAGUUUCUUUAAAAGUAUAGAACAUGUCCAAUUGUUCGGCACAACGUAAACAAAUUACAUGAGGCAGUGGGUCACUAUCAGAUAUCUAUAAAAAAAAAAAAGUGGAAUAAACAUUACUUUUAAAACCUACCCCAAUAAUAUUUACUAAUCUACUUCUUUACUGCUUUAACAUAAUGUACAGGUGUGUAAUAAAUAACAUUAAGUAGAUAGGUACCUAUCUAAAAAAAAAAGGCAAAAAGGUCCCAACGAUAUAAAACUGAUAAAUAUUACAAAGCAAAUAAUAAUGAGAAACUUGAUACUACCCACUGCGUUUCUAUUUUUAGAAGUGUACCUACAUUGAUACAUAAUAUGUAAAUUACCAAAUAAAUAAUUUGCCAAUAUCA
This 2039-nucleotide unclassified non-coding RNA is filed under the name Agrilus planipennis (emerald ash borer). RNAcentral describes it as "leucine-rich repeat neuronal protein 3-like, transcript variant X1". Lineage: Eukaryota; Metazoa; Arthropoda; Insecta; Coleoptera; Buprestidae. The record is from RNAcentral.